This 528-nucleotide ribosomal RNA is filed under the name Chaenopsis alepidota (orangethroat pikeblenny). Its description in RNAcentral is "partial 16S ribosomal RNA". It matches the Rfam family "Bacterial large subunit ribosomal RNA", at positions 1941 to 2620 of the family's 2925-position model. The record is from RNAcentral. Lineage: Eukaryota; Metazoa; Chordata; Actinopteri; Blenniiformes; Chaenopsidae.
UUUGACCGUGCAAAGGUAGCGUAAUCACUUGUCUUUUAAAUGAAGACCUGUAUGAAUGGCAUUACGAGGGCUUAACUGUCUUUCCCCUCCAGUCAAUGAAAUUGAUCUCCCCGUGCAGAAGCGGGGAUUAGUCCAUAAGACGAGAAGACCCUGUGGAGCUUUAGACACAAGUAUAGCCCGAGUUAAGCAGUCUAAUUAAAGAAUUAAACCAAUCGGCCCCUACACUGCUGUCUUUGGUUGGGGCGACCGCGGGGUAAUAAAAAACCCCCACGAAGACUAGAAGCACCUCUUCUAAAACCUAGAGCCACCCCUCUAAGUAUCAGAAUCUCUGACUUACCCUGAUCCGGCCUGCGCCGAUCAACGAACCCAGUUACCCCAGGGAUAACAGCGCAAUCCUCUUCCAGAGCCCAUAUCGACAAGGGGGUUUACGACCUCGAUGUUGGAUCAGGACAUCCUAUUGGUGCAGCCGCUAAUAAGGGUUCGUUUGUUCAACGAUUAAAGUCCUACGUGAUCUGAGUUCAGACCGGA